Molecule: long non-coding RNA, 340 nt
Organism: Camelus dromedarius (Arabian camel)
Lineage: Eukaryota; Metazoa; Chordata; Mammalia; Artiodactyla; Camelidae
Exons: 3
Source: RefSeq, a predicted model, not a curated record
AGCUCUGGACUGUGUUCUGUGACUUUCCACACAGGGUCUGCAGGAUGCCAGGCAGCCUGAACUUAUAGACAAUAUGACCCAAGACGGUCUUUCUUCUCGGGGGCAAGGAGGCUUGUGGCCUGGAAACUAUCCACGGGCCAAAAUGGUGACUCUGACAGUGAGGACUUCAGGCCCUGGCAGAGCUGUCAUGGGAGGAGCAAAACCAGGACAAGAACAGGAUUUGGAUCCAGAUACUGACACACAUACACAAGAUGGAAGCUGAAGCAAUCACAGAAGGCCAACUUUGAUGUAACAGUAGACCCAUUAGGGGCCAUUCUUCUCCAGAUCUUAGUGAGUUCUG